Dermochelys coriacea (leatherback sea turtle) is the source of this 3080-nucleotide long non-coding RNA. RefSeq lists it as uncharacterized. The transcript is spliced from 3 exons. Lineage: Eukaryota; Metazoa; Chordata; Testudines; Dermochelyidae. The record is from RefSeq and is a predicted model, not a curated record.
CUACCUACCCCCACCCUUGCCCCCACCCCACCUCCUGCUGCCAUCCCCAACCCCCUGCCCCUACUGCCACACCCCCUGCGCUGUCCUGCCUGCUGCAGUGCCACAAGUGUCAGCUGUAGUAUUUGGGGCUGACAUUUCAGAUUGCUCCCGGGGCUGUAGGAAUAGUGGGAGAACAUCUCUUGCCCUUUUCUCCCUGACACUGAGGUGUGGGUAAGAACAAAGAUGAGACGGGACUGCCGGGUAAGGGUUCUGUUCCUAGCUCUGACACCUCAGGCACUUCGCUUGUCUUGGGUGCAUCUACACAGCCAAGUGCAGAGCCUCGGUCCAGGGGCUUGCACCGCGGCGCCACAAGGCGGUGGAGACGUUCGAGUUUGGGCUCUGAAGCUAGGCAGCCAGGAGGACUUCAGGACCCAAGCUCCAGCGAGCCAAACAGCUGCACUGCAAUUUCUGGGCUGUCACGGGAGCCCAGGUCUGUUGACUGGGCUGUGAGGCUCAGUGCUGCGGGCUGCCACUCGCUGUGCGGAGGCACCCAGCGUCCCUCGGUUUUCCAACUCGCAAAACGGAGCUGGCAAUAACCUGCCUCGCAGAGGAGCAGGAAGCAGAGCAUGCCCCCUGCAGAGCAUUCACUAUUCCUGCCAGCCCAGAGUGAGAGACAGGACCAGAGGGAUCAAUUCACCUGCAGCAGGCACAGCCAGAAUCCCUUUCACCUACAAUGAUGGCAGGUUGUCAAUUACAAUGGAAAGAAGAAAAGCCACACAUUUGAAGAUCCUGCUGAAUAAGAGACUUUCUUAGUGAAGCAGCACUCAGAGGGACUAAAAAAAUCAGAAUAAUGGUAGCAGGAAAUAAUCUUAAAGCAAAAUCCAUGUAUCUUCUAAAUGAUAUAACUUCAAAUCCAUGUCUCGAGAUGGUAAAUUAACAUAAUUUCAGAUUCUGUCUGCAUUUCGCAGAUGUUAGAUGUGUGAAAUGUAGUUUCGUAGUCAUUGUCCAGACCGGACUCCAAAAACAUUGAUCCAUACUGACCCAAAUGGAAGUCACUAAGGAGAUCCCAAGGACAUCUGAGCUGAUGCCCCUGUAUUAAAAGCAGCUAAUCAAUAUCAAAGAGAUAGACAAUCCCUUGGAAUUUCCCAAGGCAGCCUUCAGAUGAUAGUAGCUUUUGAUCACUGCUGAUAGGGGCUGGAGUUGAAGUAGUGACUUAAGAGGCGAAGUGCUCUGUAGCCUAGUAUCAGCAUCCUUGAGCCAUCCUAUCCCCCAACACCAGUCUCUUAUGAUUGCUAAAUAAUUUCCAUCACUUGGCAUCAGUCUCUGAGUCAGGGUUAAUCCAGAUUUUCAUUGUUGUGGACAUCAGGAUAAAGAUAAAGAAGUAAGUGCUUUGUUUUCCAUACACAGGGCUUUUGUCUUACAUUAUUGCCAUUCCCAGCCAUGGCCCAGGACCCCAGUGUGCUAGGAGCCGUUCAGGCACAGAACAAAAAGGUGGUCCUUUCCCUGAAGAGCUUACAAUCAAAGGUCUUGAUAAAGUAGUGGCACUCUAAGUAGUCGUCUUGCUCCUGGCCCAUCAUCCCAGCCCUACAGUGAUACUGAGUGCUCUUAAGAUCACCCAAUUCCAGCAGCUGGCGGCUUUAAGAAAAACCCCAAAAUAGUGUGAUUCAUGGUAAAAAUCAUGCAAGUUGGCUGGCCCUUUGUGCUGCCCCUUGACCCUCAAACUUUCCUAACAAAACUAGCCUACCCCCCAGAGCCAGCAGAGUUAACACCAUGUGUUGGGAUCACUACAGCUCUCCCAUGCUGAGAAGGGUCUGGCCUGGACAGUAUGAAGACAGGAGACCUCUAUGGAUUAAAGAAGGUGCUGUAGGAAGUGGUAUGGGGGGGAUGCAACCUGGGACGCUCUUCCUGCUGUCUGUGCUGAAUCAAUGUUACUAUACAGGGCUAGGAGGCGCUUGGUUUUGAAUGAAAUGUAAAACCAAGAUCCCAAGCAUGUGAAGGUAAUCGAGAUCACCAGAAGCUUUUAGGAACUGUAGGAUUAUGAUUCAUGAGCUCUCGUCUCCCGGGGUAGUUUCCAACUUAGGUAAUUAACUUCUGCUGACCUAAAUCCUUCCCCAUUUGCAUUUAAAAUCAGAUACAGAAUUCUUCUUCACUUCACUUCCUGUUGUGUAGCACUGUAUGCUGUUCACAAGCUGCUGCCUUCUACCGCAAAAGUGGCUGCAUUUCAGAUGCUGAAGAAGCAUUCCUUGCAUGCAUGCAAUCUGUGCAGGGCAUUGUGUUGAAGGUGUUGCGCUGUUGUCAUUAUUAUUAUUACAUUUUAAUUAUUUACCAUCCAAGAUUAUCCUGAAGGGGGAGUGGAGCCAGUUAGACGCUGUGAAAAGACAGUGCCCUGAGCAAAAUACUAGGCUGAGUGAGCUGGAACUGAAGCAGCCACAUCAGGAGUAUUUGGCAGAGAGUAGAGACAGCAGAGUACAGGGAACAGGUGGAGGUGUGAAGUGAAGCAGGGAGAGACGGAAAAGAGGGAUCAAGCUGGUGAAAAGCAGAAAGAAGAGGACAGGCCAGGAAUUAGAAAGGAGAGGAGGGAUGUAUCCUGCUAGAGUGAGCCGCUGUAACCAGAGCCCCUGCAUGCAUUGCUGAGGUUUUACACAGGUUAAAUUUAGUACCAAAUGUACAGCUCAGCAGAACAGGUUCCUGGGGAAGAUGCAGUUGGACUCGAAGGAGUUUGCAUCAUGCUUAAAACAGGCAGUGCCAAGCCGCUAACCAUUCCUAACGGGUGGGGUUGGUGGAGCAGCCUUCUCACCUGCUUUUCCCUUAUAGGGUGUUGGAAGAGCUGGAGCCCAUACCCUGGAGGGAAGCCUCCCUGCAGGCAGAUGGGCUGAGGACCAACUAGUACAUUGCCUCAGGAAGGAAGGGAAGGGAAGUGGGCCAGGCAAUACACCAACGCUGAGAAGUACCAACUGGUGCUGACCAAGGAAACUGCCACAUCGGGACACACUAACAGUCCUUCUAGCUGGGACUCCUGUGGCUGAUGCCAACUGCUCCUGAGCAGAGACAUCCAACAUCUGCCAGAAGAGGGUAUUUUUGAGUGUAAUACUGUCAAUGGC